ACGGCCCUGAGAAAAUGCCCUGUUUAAAGUAGGCAUUUAGGUAAGGGGGGGUUUUGGGGGUUAAAGUGCUGGACCCCUAGGCUGAAAUUUUAGGUUGGUGGCAUAAAGGCAUGCUCAAAAAAGUGGGAGAUUAGAAUUCACGUUAACACCCCCAUCCUACCACAAACCUAGAAAAGUAAUUCUAAUUUGGAGAAAAGUAAAAUUUUGGGGAGGGGCUAAAACUAAUAUUGAUUUAUAGAUGUCAUCUGUGUUUACCGUAAAUAUCUCAGGGAGCGGUUAGGCUUUAGGACUCAUACUCCUAAGAUGUAUUUCUCUGAUAAUCAUUCAUUAAUGGAUUUGCAAACACAUAGCUAAUUUUAUAGCAGAUAUUUAUGUGUCUGCUGUAUUAACAUUCUAAUUUAUGAGCAUAAAUGCACAGGUGCUAGUCACCUAGUAAACCUUGCGCCAGCGUGUGCGGUUAAACAGCUGGGAGUGUUUGAUGCCUAUAUUGUGCCCUUUUAAGAGGGGCUUAUAGUCGCGAAAAACGCGAAAGUUGAAACAAAUCCUGGUGGGUAGUUUUGCAGUUCAGAUAUGAGUCCUGAGUAUCCUAUGGAUGCAAUAAUGUUCUGGGGAUGAUCUAAAUCACGUGGCGGUGCUCUUGAAAGCUCGGGCGACUUCGGUGUGAAUAGUAAACCUGAAGUUAGUUGGCUUCAAGGCCUCUUGUAUGAUUGAAUAUUUCUGGUAGCAAUUAUUCAAAUGCCAUAGGGGCUAAGUUAAUUUGCCUGAGUCUUAGUAUUAAUUCAAAUCAAGGAUUUACGAGUAGUUGAUGACAAAUGAAGGUAUCAGGAGUGAGUACAUAUCGCCCGUCAACACCUCACAGGUGUAAGUCGUAACAUAGUGAUCCUACUUGAAAGUGGGGUU
This 900-nucleotide ribosomal RNA is filed under the name Pomphorhynchus laevis. RNAcentral describes it as "s-rRNA". Lineage: Eukaryota; Metazoa; Acanthocephala; Palaeacanthocephala; Echinorhynchida; Pomphorhynchidae. The record is from RNAcentral.